CGUUGGCGGCGUGCCUAAAUAACAUGCAAGUCGAACGAGGUCUCCUAACUGAUAGCUGGUGCUUGCAUCAGCUUGACGAUAGAUCUGACCGAGUGGCGAACUGGUGAGUAACACGUGGGUAACCUGCCCAGAAGAAGGGGAUAACACCUGGAAACAGAUGCUAAUACCGUAUAACAACGAGAACCACAUGGUUCUCGUUUGAAAGAUGGCUUUUAUGCUAUCGCUUCUGGAUGGACCCGCGGCGUAUUAGCUAGUUGGUGAGAUAAUAGCUCACCAAGGCAAUGAUACGUAGCAGACCUGAGAGGGUAAUCUGCCACAAUGGGACUGAGACACGGCCCAUACUCCUACGGGAGGCAGCAGUAGGGAAUCUUCCACAAUGGACGAAAGUCUGAUGGAGCAACGCCGCGUGAGUGAAGAAGGGUUUCGGCUCGUAAAACUCUGUUGUUAGAGAAGAACGACCGUGAGAGCAACUGCUCACGGUGUGACGGUAUCUAACCAGAAAGUCACGGCUAACUACGUGCCAGCAGCCGCGGUAAUACGUAGGUGGCAAACGUUGUCCGGAUUUAUUGGGCGUAAAGCGAGCGCAGGCGGUUUUCUAAGUCUGAUGUUGAAACUUCGGCUUAACCGGAGAAGUGCAUCGGAAACUGGAUAACUUGAGUGCAGAAAAGGACAGUGGAACUUCAUGUGUAGCGGUGAAAUGCGUAGAUAUAUGAAGGAACACCAGUGGCGAAGGCGGCUGUCUGGUCUGCAUCUGACGCUGAGGCUCGAAAGCAUGGGUAGCAAACAGGAUUAGAUACCCUGGUAGUCCAUGCCGUAAACGAUGAAUGCUAGGUGUUGGGAGGUUUCCGCCUCUCAGUGCCGCAGCUAACGCAUUAAGCAUUCCGCCUGGGGAGUACGACCGCAAGGUUGAAACUCAAAGGAAUUGACGGGGACCCGCACAAGCGGUGGAGCAUGUGGUUUAAUUCGAUGCU
This 971-nucleotide ribosomal RNA is filed under the name Fructilactobacillus lindneri. RNAcentral's name for it is "bacterial SSU rRNA". It matches the Rfam family "Bacterial small subunit ribosomal RNA", at positions 34 to 958 of the family's 1533-position model. The record is from RNAcentral. Lineage: Bacteria; Bacillati; Bacillota; Bacilli; Lactobacillales; Lactobacillaceae.